Hippocampus zosterae (dwarf seahorse) is the source of this 2208-nucleotide long non-coding RNA. RefSeq lists it as uncharacterized. The record is from RefSeq and is a predicted model, not a curated record. NCBI's taxonomy places the organism in Eukaryota, Metazoa, Chordata, Actinopteri, Syngnathiformes, Syngnathidae. The transcript has 4 exons.
AGGCCAAAGAGAGCAAGAAUGCUCACCCUUUCCCCCUCCCCUGACAAAUCUGAUUUCAAACAGCCUGCGGCUUCCGCUAACCUCUGAUUUUCUGAUUCUCUCGGUACAUUCCGCAGACUUGGCAUCCGGCGAGACGGCAAACGGCCUCAGGAACCAUCUGACGUGGGCAUAAAUACUUUCCACGGAACGUACGUCUUGGCACGACAACAAACAACAAAGGGUGAAUAUCCAGAGCGCUCAAUGAAUCACACCGAGAAGAGGAAGAGGAAGGAGAAGUGGGCCAGAACGUUUUCAUCUUCAAGAGGCCAUCCCAACGCUCCGAGUCAUGUCUGGUCAAAGUGCAUCUCGAGCGUCCUGCUGGCAGAACGUCACGCGUCCAUCUGCGGCCCCCAAAUUACACAUCAGCCAGGCAGACGGACUCCCUGGGACUUAAAGCGGGUCUGCAUGCCAUGGCACCAUGCUGCCUCUCACAGGUCAGUUGUGAUACUACAACGGACAUCUGCUCUGUCAGUGGAGAUGAUGAUGGUGCGUGCGUUGAUCAACUCGAUCUCAUCACACACAUCACACAAGUGCGAUCACGUCGUCGUCCGCAAACAAUGGGGUACAUGCGGAUUCCGGUCUAACCUCAUCCAUCAGCCUCUCCGUCACGAAUGCAAAGAGGAAAGGGCUUAGAGUUGAUCCAGCCCAACCUCCACCUUCAACUCAUCCGUCACACCGGCAGCGCACUUCACUACUGUUCUGCUACCCGAAUACCGAGUGUCCGGCACUACUCGAACUGUAUUUCCCUGUCGCUCCAGACUUCCUCACGCAGUACCACAGUUUCCUUCCGGGUGCCCUGUCAUCGGCUUUCUCUCGAACGAUAAAGACACAAUGCAGAUCCUUCUGAUUGUCUGUGUCCUUAUCUGUCACCACCCUCAAGGCAAAUCUCCAGCACAACGCUUCUUCGGCAUGGAACCAUACUACUGUUCUGAGUUUAGCUUCCACUGCCACGAUCACUUUACCGUAACUUCAUUCAAACUAUAGUUUCUGGCCAACGUUUCUUCCGUUCCUCUGGCAUCUUCUCACCCUGAAGAAUUACAUGAACCAACACGGUCAAAAACUCUCCGAGAUGCUUCCGUACCUCGUCAGGACCCACUCACUGCCUUUUUCAUUUUUCAUCCUGGGCAGGACAGUAAGAGAAAAUAGGACAGAUGCAUUGAGCAACCAGGGAAGGGGCACAAGAACAAUGGGCAAUACAACAACAGGGGCUGAUAAUGAUAAUAAUCUCUCGGUGACAGCAAUGUCGACAAUGAUAACCCGAUCCCAACACCACUGUCCCGUCCUCACCACGACCGGUAACAAGUAGCUAAAUGUGAAGCCCCACCUCCAGAAGGAGGGAGCACUGAUCAGUCCCUGUAUCACAUCGCAGCUCAGGUCCACGUCUGUGUUCUUUGCGUGCCCUCCCCAUGCUUGCCUGCAUUUUUUUCCUACCUACUCUGUAGGUUAGGGUCAUUGAAGACUGAAUGAAAGUGUGCAUGCUAUCUGCCGCGAUGUAUGCUAAUCUGUCUUUUGAGCAACGAACAGGCCUCAGCGCUUACCGUAGGUGUCGGGUUGGAGCACCUGCCCGCCAGCCGCACAGCUGCAGUACAGCUCUGUCACUCACUUAACACCGCAUCUGUAUCGUUGCGAUUCACCCCCCCCCCCCCCCCCCGGCCCCCUUCGGCUCAGGUGAUACGGAACCCAUGACGAGCUUCCAGGCAAGAGAUCAAAAGACGCUGACUGAUAAGAGCGUGAGGUCACUCCAAUGAGCCGGCAAGGCUAAUUGUCUAACCCUCGACUCCUAGCGCUUGGCAUUAGCCUGCGCCCCUCGGGUUCAACGGCGGGCCAAGAAAAUAGCAGAGAGAAAGAAGGUAAAGCGGAGGACUUCUCGCAAACAGAUGUCAGAGGAGGAAAAAAGAAAAUCCCUCACGUAAGCUUUUGGCGGUCUACCCUGUGAUCACGCGAUGCCUGUCAAAGAAGCCAUUGAUGCGGUGAGGGCUGAGAUAACAGUCGACUGUCGGGAAUGGUGCCGGGCAGAGGUGAUGAAAGUACACACACAAGAAAAAGUCCAGAUACUUGUGUAAAAAAAAAAUUAUAUAUAUAUAUAUAUGGCGGCCCGGUAGUCCAGUGAUGGCACGUCGGCUUCACAGGGCAGAGGUACCGGGUUCGAUUCCAGCUCCGGCCUCCAUG